UACAGGUGCUUGCACUUGUACUUAGGUGGCAGACGGGUGAGUAACGCGUGGGAACGUACCUUUUGGUUCAGGACAACGGCUGGAAACGGUCGCUAAUCUGGAUAAGCCCUUUGGGGGAAAGAUUUAUUGCCAAAAGAGCGGCCCGCGUUAGAUUAGGUAGUUGGUGGGGUAAUGGCCUACCAAGCCGACGAUCCAUAGCUGGUUUGAGAGGAUGAUCAGCCACACUGGGACUGAGACACGGCCCAGACUCC
Molecule: ribosomal RNA, 251 nt
Filed under: uncultured bacterium
Lineage: Bacteria
Description: partial 16S ribosomal RNA
Rfam family: Bacterial small subunit ribosomal RNA
Source: RNAcentral